Molecule: ribosomal RNA, 492 nt
Filed under: uncultured bacterium
Lineage: Bacteria
Description: partial 16S ribosomal RNA
Rfam family: Bacterial small subunit ribosomal RNA
Source: RNAcentral
AGUGAACGCUGGCGGUAGGCCUAACACAUGCAAGUCGAACGGCAGCACAGUAAGAGCUUGCUCUUACGGGUGGCGAGUGGCGGACGGGUGAGGAAUGCAUCGGAAUCUACUUUUUCGUGGGGGAUAACGCAGGGAAACUUACGCUAAUACCGCAUACGACCUACGGGUGAAAGCAGGGGAUCUUCGGACCUUGCGCGAUUGAAUGAGCCGAUGUCGGAUUAGCUAGUUGGCGGGGUAAAGGCCCACCAAGGCGACGAUCCGUAGCUGGUCUGAGAGGAUGAUCAGCCACACUGGAACUGAGACACGGUCCAGACUCCUACGGGAGGCAGCAGUGGGGAAUAUUGGACAAUGGGCGCAAGCCUGAUCCAGCCAUACCGCGUGGGUGAAGAAGGCCUUCGGGUUGUAAAGCCCUUUUGUUGGGAAAGAAAAGCAGCAGGUUAAUACCCCGCUGUUCUGACGGUACCCAAAGAAUAAGCACCGGCUAACUUCGUG